This is a long non-coding RNA of Anolis carolinensis (green anole), 1738 nucleotides long. Lineage: Eukaryota; Metazoa; Chordata; Lepidosauria; Squamata; Anolidae. The record is from Ensembl.
AUGGACUGCCAAGAGUCUCCGGAGAAACCAGGUAUUGGCAGCUGCGUGGAAAAAGGGGAACCAGCCAAGGAGAAAUGUUCAUUUGUCAACGCUACGGCCAUGUGUGAAGCACCAAGAUCAGCCACCACAGAAGCUCCAUCCCGACCCACGAAAGAGCCUCCAGAGCCAUCCAGUCAGAAGCCAGAAAUUGUCACAUUUGGUAAGUCAUGGGAGCCUCACCCAGAUGAAAUAUUUAAUAUUAAUAAUAAUAAUAAUAAUAAUAAUAAUAAUAAUAAUAAUAAUAAUAACGACCUGUCAACUGCAAGAGGCCACCCUGCUGGGAUUUGUGCGCAUCAUCCGAAAAUACAUCACACAAUCCUAGACACUUGGGAAGUGUUCGACUUGUGAUUUUGUGAUAUGAAAUCCAGCAUAUAUAUCUCGUUUGCUAUGUCAUACUAUGUCUUUGGGCCAAUAAUAAUAAUAACAACAAUAAUAAUAAUCCUGGGUAAUUAAUGUGAACUUGGCUUAGACUUUUAAAUGGACAUAAUGAUGAUAAUAAUACUAUUAAUAAAAGUUAUUAUUAUUAUUAUUAUUAUUAUUAUUAUUAUUAUUAUUGUUGUUGUUGAUGUGAUUAGUGCAAAGCUGGCACAGGUCUCCAGACAGACAUGUAUUAUUAUUAUUAUUAUUAUUAUUAUUAUUAUUAUUAUUAUAUUAUGUCAGAGCAAACAAGAUAGAUAUGCUGGAUUUCGUAUCACAAAAUCACAAGUCGAACACUUCCCAAGUGUCUAGGACUGUGUGAUGUAUUAUUAUUAUUAUUAUUAUUAUUAUUAUUAUUAUUAUUAUUAUAUGACACGGCAAACAAGAUAGAUAUGCUGGAUUUCGUUUCACAAAAUCACAAGUCGAACACUUCCCAAGUGUCUAGGACUGUGUGAUGUAUUAUUAUUAUUAUUAUUAUUAUUAUUAUUAUUAUUAUUAUUAUUAUGACACAGCAAACAAGAUAGAUAUGCUGGAUUUCGUAUCACAAAAUCACAAGUCGAACACUUCCCAAGUGUCUAGGACUGUGUGAUGUAUUUUUGGAUGAUGAGCGCAGAUCCCAAUAGGGUGGCCUUUUGCAGUUGGCAGAUCGUAAUUUUGUCAAUGUCUAUUGUUUAAUAUAUUAUAUAUUAUUAUAAUAUAUUAUAAUAUAUAUUAUAAUAAUAUAUAUUAUAUAUUAUUAUAUGACACAGCAAACAAGCUAGACAUUAUUAUUAUUAUUAUUAUUAUUAUUAUUAUUUUAUUGUAUGACACAGCAAACAAGAUAGAUAUGCUGGAUUUCGUAUCACAAAAUCACAAGUCGAACACUUCCCAAGUGUCUAGGACUGUGUGAUGUAUUUUCAGAUGAUGCGUGCAGAUCCCAGUCGGGUGGCCUUUUGCAGUUGGCAGAUCGUAAUUUUGUCAAUGUCUAUUGUUUCCAAAUGCCGGCUGAGAUCUUUUGGCACGGCACCCAGUGUGCCCAUCACCUUAUUAUUAUUAUUAUUAUUAUUGAUGUGAUUAGUGCAAAGCUGGCACAGGUCUCCAAACAGACAUGUAUUUUUAUUAUUAUUAUUAUUAUUAUUAUUAUUAUUAUUAUUAUUAUUAUUAUUAUUAUUAUUAUUAUUUAUAUACUACUCUAUCUCCUCGAGAGGACUCAAACCUUUUAAAAACAUUUGGACUUGUAGCAGCAAUUAAAAAAGACUGUUUGGCUUCUGAUGUUCCCGUCCCACACUCCACGAUGACUGCA